GACGAACGCUGGCGGCGCGCCUAACACAUGCAAGUCGAACGAGCGAGAGAGAGCUUGCUUUCUCAAGCGAGUGGCGAACGGGUGAGUAACGCGUGAGGAACCUGCCUCAAAGAGGGGGACAACAGUUGGAAACGACUGCUAAUACCGCAUAAGCCCACGACCCGGCAUCGGGUUGAGGGAAAAGGAGCAAUCCGCUUUGAGAUGGCCUCGCGUCCGAUUAGCUGGUUGGUGAGGUAACGGCCCACCAAGGCAACGAUCGGUAGCCGGACUGAGAGGUUGAACGGCCACAUUGGGACUGAGACACGGCCCAGACUCCUACGGGAGGCAGCAGUGGGGAAUAUUGCACAAUGGGGGAAACCCUGAUGCAGCGACGCCGCGUGGAGGAAGAAGGUCUUCGGAUUGUAAACUCCUGUUGUUGAGGAAGAUGAUGACGGUACUCAACAAGGAAGUGACGGCUAACUACGUGCCAGCAGCCGCGGUAAAACGUAGGUCACAAGCGUUGUCCGGAAUUACUGGGUGUAAAGGGAGCGCAGGCGGGAAGACAAGUUGGAAGUGAAAUCUAUGGGCUCAACCCAUAAACUGCUUUCAAAACUGUUUUUCUUGAGUAGUGCAGAGGUAGGCGGAAUUCCCGGUGUAGCGGUGGAAUGCGUAGAUAUCGGGAGGAACACCAGUGGCGAAGGCGGCCUACUGGGCACCUACUGACGCUGAGGCUCGAAAGUGUGGGUAGCAAACAGG
This 735-nucleotide ribosomal RNA is filed under the name uncultured bacterium. Its description in RNAcentral is "bacterial SSU rRNA". It matches the Rfam family "Bacterial small subunit ribosomal RNA", at positions 28 to 776 of the family's 1533-position model. The record is from RNAcentral.